GGUGAGUCCCGUACGGUCAGCUCCCUCUGAACCCCGUCAGGGCCGGAAGGCAGCAGCGGUAAGAGGU
RNAcentral lists this signal recognition particle RNA (67 nucleotides) under Bacteroidota bacterium. RNAcentral describes it as "Bacteroidetes bacterium partial signal recognition particle sRNA small type". It matches the Rfam family "Bacterial small signal recognition particle RNA", at positions 1 to 67 of the family's 97-position model. Rfam says of the family: The signal recognition particle (SRP) is a universally conserved ribonucleoprotein involved in the co-translational targeting of proteins to membranes. Archaeal SRP consists of a 7S RNA and homologues of the eukaryotic SRP19 and SRP54 proteins. Lineage: Bacteria; Pseudomonadati; Bacteroidota. The record is from RNAcentral.